CACAGGCAUGCUGACCAAGCUGAACCAGGAAAGUUCACAGUCCACCGGAGCUCCCGUACCUACCACCACUCCCACUCCGGGCGAGAAGAGCCCAAGAGUCAGGCAUGGACACGGCCGCCUUGCUCCCGGUGGCGCUGGCCCUCAUGGCCAUCCCCGUCACGGCGCUCCUCCUCAGCCGGCUCCGCUUCGGCAGGCUGCCACCGGGGCCGCGCCCGUGGCCGGUGCUGGGCAACCUCUUCCAAAUCCAGCCCGUGCGCUGCCGGUGCUUCGCCGAGUGGGCGGCGCGGUACGGGCCCAUCAUGACGGUCUGGUUCGGCUCGACGCCGAUGGUGGUGGUGUCCACGCCGGAGCUGGCGCAGGAGGUGCUCAGGACCCACGACCAGCACCUGGCCGACCGCUCCCGGAACCGCUCCUCCGAGCGCUUCAGCCGCGGCGGCAUGGACCUCAUCUGGGCCGACUACGGCCCGCACUACAUCAAGGUGCGCAAGCUCUGUAACCUCGAGCUCUUCACGCCCCGCCGCCUCGAGGCGCUCCGCCCCGUCCGCGAGGACGAGGUCACCGCCAUGGUCGAGUCCGUGCACGCGGCCGGCAAGGGAGGCAGGCCCGUGGCGGUGCGGGAGUUCCUCGCUAUGGUCGGCUUCAACAACAUCACGCGGCUCGCCUUCGGGAAGCGGUUCCUGACCGCGGCCGGCGAGCUGGACGAGCAAGGGCGCGAGUUCAAGGAGAUCGUCAACAACGGCAUCAAGAUCGGCGCGUCGCUGUCCAUCGCCGAGCACAUCCGGUGGCUCCGGUGGCUCACGCCCGUCGACGAGGUGGCCUAUCAAGCCCACGGCGACCGGCGCGAUCGGCUCACCGUCAAGAUCAUGGAGGAGCACGCCAGCGCCCUCGAGCGGAGCGGCGCCAGCAAGCAGCAUUUCGUCGACGCGCUCUUCACGCUCCGGGACAAGUACGACCUCAGCGACGACACCGUCAUUGGCCUCCUCUGGGUGGGUAAUCAAUCAAUUGAAUUGAAUUAAUGCCGCCAUUCCAUAUUAGUAGUAAUCACUAGACCGACGUGAUAACCACUACACCAAAGCAAACCUUUUCUAUUCCGUAUUAUUGUCGCGAUUUGAUUUGAUUGAUUCGAUCAUUCAUAUGUGUGUGCACGCGAUCGAGCAGGACAUGAUCACCGCCGGCACGGACACGACGGUGAUAACCGUGGAGUGGGCGGUAGCGGAGCUGGUGAGGAACCCGACGGUGCAGCACAAGGUGCAGGAGGAGCUGGACCGGGUGGUCGGCCGCGACCGGGUGCUGUCGGAGACGGACUUCCCCAACCUGCCCUACCUGCAGGCCAUCGUCAAGGAGUCGCUCCGGCUGCACCCGCCGACGCCGCUGAUGCUGCCGCACAGGGCCAGCGCCGCCGUGAAGGUCGCCGGCUACGACAUCCCCAAGGGAGCCAGCGUCACGGUGAACGUGUGGGCGAUCGCGCGCGACCCGGAGGCGUGGGACAGCCCGCUCGAGUUCCGGCCCGAGCGCUUCCUCCACGACAACAUCGACAUCAAGGGGUGCGACUACCGCGUGCUGCCGUUCGGCGCCGGCCGCCGGGUGUGCCCCGGCGCGCAGCUCGGGAUCAACCUCGUGGCGUCCAUGAUCGGCCACCUCCUGCACCACUUCACCUGGGCGCUGCCGGACGGGACCCGGCCGGAGGACAUCGACAUGAUGGAGUCCCCCGGGCUCAUCACCUUCAUGCGCACGCCGCUGCAGGUCGUCGCCACGCCGCGCCUCGAAAAGGAGGAGCUCUACAAGCGGGUGGCCGCCGAGAUGUGAGCGACCUGGGACUCCUGGUGGUUCAGAGUUCAUGCUUCAAAUUAAGUGUUGACGUGUCUUUUUUCGAGUUCUUCGUAGCUACUAUCGGUACCUAUGCAUUUAUUUUGUUGUUAAUCCAUGAAUAUACUCGUGGUACAAUAUGAUUUCUUUUUUGCGAUAGAACUUGUAUUACUCAAUCACCAGGAUUACAAUCAGGGAGACACAAGUUCUCAACGUCCUCAGGACCAGAGCAUAUAGCCAAACAACACUACGAUUGCCAUGUCUCCAGAAAGGUCUUGCCUCUUCUUCUUCUUCCACGCAUUCACCAUCUCCAAACAAUCCACUUCAAGGUGAAUAGGGCCAUCGCACCAAUUCAGGGAUAGAUCCAUACCUUCCCUAGCUGCAAUCAACUCAGCUUCUAGAGCACUCAAACAUCGAUUCAAAUUCUGUCAGGGAAGUCGUGGAAUAUAAGAGAAAGAAGAAGAAGAAGAUGAACAGUGAAGGGAAGUCAUGGAACAGUGUGUGCAACAGAAUGGGAGCUGUAGGAUACACAUAGGUAGGCAGACAUAUAACAAGGAUCUGCGGACGUAUUCAUAUAAAAUAUACAUGUACAUUGUCCC
Molecule: ribosomal RNA, 2405 nt
Filed under: Triticum aestivum (bread wheat)
Lineage: Eukaryota; Viridiplantae; Streptophyta; Magnoliopsida; Poales; Poaceae
Description: partial small subunit ribosomal RNA
Source: RNAcentral